GGCCGCGUGGCGUAAUGGAGAACGCGUCUGACUUCGGAUCAGAAGAUUGCAGGUUCGAGUCCUGCCGCGGUCG
RNAcentral lists this transfer RNA (73 nucleotides) under Trichuris suis (pig whipworm). It matches the Rfam family "tRNA". From Rfam's summary of the family: Transfer RNA (tRNA) molecules are approximately 80 nucleotides in length. Their secondary structure includes four short double-helical elements and three loops (D, anti-codon, and T loops). Lineage: Eukaryota; Metazoa; Nematoda; Enoplea; Trichinellida; Trichuridae. The record is from Rfam by way of RNAcentral.